This 546-nucleotide long non-coding RNA is filed under the name Drosophila guanche. Lineage: Eukaryota; Metazoa; Arthropoda; Insecta; Diptera; Drosophilidae. The record is from RNAcentral.
CCUGCAUUAUAUUUUUUUUAUUAGAAUUUCGAAUGAAUUAUUCCACAAAAGAGCAAAAAUUGCAUCGAAUUAAAUUCAUGGAUUCAUUUAUAAAUAUUUCUGUUAGCUCUUCUUGGCAAGAGCAUGUCCCCGUCGCAUACACAAAAUCCGCGCCCUUCAGCCAUUAUCCCGUUGUGGUUGUUCUUGUUGUGUUUUUUUGUAUUGCUCCUGCACUUUAUGUCCUGUCAGCGGAGUCGGUCGACCAGCCCAGUGUCAGUCAGUGCCGUCGGCGCCCGAGGCCAUCGUCUGCCGGUGACAGGCGGGCGUCCGUUGGUGUCCGUUCCGUCUGUCCGUCUGUCCGUCCGUCCGUCAGAGCUAUGCGUCAGUGGAUCACGUUGCUGCUCCACGUGAUGAUGACAGUCAGGCACAUCGAAUGGCCAUCCCCAUGGCCGGAACAUUCAUUCCCUUGCCCCAACUGUGGCUACUGCGUGUAAUUGCCGUUGUAAUGUCGCUCAACGCGAAUAUAAUUGCUAAAAUGUUGCAUAAACCGACAGACGUGCCAAUGGC